GCUUCAUGAUGAUAUCAAGGCAAUCGUGACCCCAUUGGCAGGUGGUUCCCCUCAUCCCAUUCCUUACAAACAGGUCUGUAAUCUUGGUGGUCAAUGCAGAGUAGUGUGUGUUCACUGUAAGGGCAGACCAACAGAAUUUCCCGUUCUUCCUUACUGCUUCUCUCCUGGAGAAGGAAUUCCUCUUCUUGCAGAGUAUUCCAAGGGGUGGUCAGGGAUGGGGGCAUAAGACAAGCUCAGUGUGCCUAGGAUAUGGGUUGCUGGGUGCUGCCAGAAUGAUGCCUUUUCGGGGCUCUGUGAGCACAAGACUUUGGUAAUCUGAAAGCU
This is a small nucleolar RNA of Hemicordylus capensis (graceful crag lizard), 324 nucleotides long. NCBI's taxonomy places the organism in Eukaryota, Metazoa, Chordata, Lepidosauria, Squamata, Cordylidae. The record is from RefSeq and is a predicted model, not a curated record.